Molecule: ribosomal RNA, 253 nt
Filed under: uncultured bacterium
Lineage: Bacteria
Description: partial 16S ribosomal RNA
Rfam family: Bacterial small subunit ribosomal RNA
Source: RNAcentral
UACAGAGGCCCCAAGCAUUAUCCGGAUUUACUGGGCGUAAAGGGUGCGUAGGCGGUUAUAUUAGUCAGGUGUUAAAUCCUGGGGCUCAACCCCAGAACUGCAUUUGAAACGGUAUAACUAGAAUGAGUCAGAGGCAAGCAGAACUCACGGUGUAGGGGUGAAAUCCGUUGAUAUCGUGGGGAAUACCAAAUGCGAAGGCAGCUUGCUGGGACUUUAUUGACGCUGAGGCACGAAAGCGUGGGUAGCGAAUCGG